UUUCCGUAGGUGAACCUGCGGAAGGAUCAUUAUUGUAUAACCGAGGUGCGAGGGCCGUCCCCGACCCGAUAGACCGUGCACGCUUGUGUGCUCUUACACACAUCCAUCUCACCAUUAUGUGGAGAACCGCGAGGGGCCUCCUCUGGAUUGCUCGGGGGGGGGCUCAAGUUUCUACACAAACUUUGUAUGCAGUGUAGAAUGUAACUUAUGUUUUUCAGCUAACGCAAUCAAUAUAACUUUAAACAAGGGAUCUGUUGGCUCUCGCAUCGAUAAAGAACC
RNAcentral lists this unclassified non-coding RNA (279 nucleotides) under plant metagenome. RNAcentral describes it as "partial contains small subunit ribosomal RNA, internal transcribed spacer 1, and 5.8S ribosomal RNA". The record is from RNAcentral.